Molecule: long non-coding RNA, 1538 nt
Organism: Danaus plexippus (monarch butterfly)
Lineage: Eukaryota; Metazoa; Arthropoda; Insecta; Lepidoptera; Nymphalidae
Exons: 2
Source: RefSeq, a predicted model, not a curated record
AUUUGAAAUAAAUAUUUGUAUUUCAACAGUGAUGUAAUAACUUGCUAUCUUUUUUACAGUAAAAUAAAUUGGUUUUUUGAGUAUUUGUGUGCAAAUAAAUAAAAGUAAUACAAACGAAAGUAUCGCAAAUAUAUACAAUUUUCUGUAAACAGAACAAUUUUAUUUAAAAAAAUACAAAUAUAAGUGCUGCAUGCACCCACAGAUAAAAAUUAUAAACGACUACAUAGUGUUUGGCCGUCAUUUCACCUUUUUUGAGGUGGAAAAGAAGCCUUAGAUAGUGAACGCACUAUAUCAGCCCUUUUUACUUUAUCUUUGAAGACACCUAACGUAAAGGAGGAUAAUUAUAUGUUCGUCUGGAUAGGAGGAAGGUUUACAACAAAAGGAUGGACCAACCGUAGUGUGUCUAGUUGUCCCCUUGGAAAAAGGGGAUACGUCCUUCAAUUCUUUUACACACACUCCAAAAUGUAUCCUAUAUAAUACGCUAGCUACUUUAAACCUAUUCUUGAGUCUAGUUCGAUUGAUUUUAACUAAGUUGGUAUUACCAAUAAUCCUUUUGCACUUCUCUCCAUAGAGUCUAAAGCCAUAAAGUAACUCGUGAAGUCGUCAAGCAGCGGUAGCCAAAACGAGACAAAAAUACUAAACCUACAACCUUAACUGUACUUUGCAGAGACUAAUAAGCUAUCCCAGAAUAAGUAUUGCCGUAUCUUUGCCAGAAAACUAUUUUUUUUUGCGGCACUACCUUAGCAUCAGCCUCAAUUAACCAUUCAAAGUACAGGUUCAAGAAUAACUCAAUACCCAAAAAUGAAGGCGGUCUGUAUAGUUCAAGCAUAGGUCCGUUAUCGAAAGUUGGAGCCAGGGUUAUGCAUUUCUCUUAUAGUGACUUUUUUUCUUACUGUAUGUGAUCCUUGUUGGCUCCAGUGCUGGUUUCAACCACUCCGCAACAGUUAUUUACGUAAAGCACUCUUUUAGAAGCAAGUUCUUGUAGAGCACAUUUGUUCAAAAAUAUUACAAUGUCCAAGUUAUUUUCUGGCCAUCGAUGUAUAAUUGGUAGACGAUGGCCUAUAUAAUUCUGCUCAUACUGGUGUUCACCAGAAUGUAGAACGUGGAUAAUUUUUAUGAUCUUCAGUGUGACAUAGAGUACUAUAGAUUUACACACAUGUAUUUUCACCUUAGACAUGUCUAAUAAUUCUCUCUUUUUAUAACUUUUAUAAUUCUCUCUUUUUAAAACAACGUGUUAAAUUUCAUACGAUAAAUAUUUUUACUAAAAUAGCAGUUCUUUUUUCAAAUCAAUAAUUUUAUCAUUUAAUUGAUUUGAAGGAAGUACAAAUAUCAAUAAAUAGUAAAAAAAUUAACUUUAAAUAUUGGAGAUUCCUAUUUUUUUUUUUGUCUACAGUUGAUACAAAUUUUAAAUUAAUUAACAAAACUAAUGUUAUUUUUGCUUGCAUUCAUAAAUUUGUGAUGGAUCGGAGCUUUGUUGACAUUAUCUUAUAUAUAUAUGUUAUAUUAAAAGGGAAAAUAAAAUUUAUUUAGAAAGUCUA